This 402-nucleotide ribosomal RNA is filed under the name bacterium. RNAcentral's name for it is "partial 16S ribosomal RNA". It matches the Rfam family "Bacterial small subunit ribosomal RNA", at positions 355 to 776 of the family's 1533-position model. The record is from RNAcentral.
UGGGGAAUUUUGCACAAUGGGGGAAACCCUGAUGCAGCGACGCCGCGUGAUUUAGAAGGCCUUCGGGUUGUAAAAAUCUUUUCUAUGGGAAGAAAAUGACAGUACCAUAGGAAUAAGGACCGGCUAAUUACGUGCCAGCAGCCGCGGUAAUACGUAAGGUCCGAGCGUUGUCCGGAAUCAUUGGGCGUAAAGGGUACGUAGGCGGGUAAGCAAGUUAGAAGUGAAAUACUAUAGCUCAACUAUAGUAAGCUUUUAAAACUGCUCAUCUUGAGGUAUGGAAGGGAAAGUGGAAUUCCUAGUGUAGCGGUGAAAUGCGCAGAUAUUAGGAGGAAUACCGGUGGCGAAGGCGACUUUCUGGCCAUAACCUGACGCUGAGGUACGAAAGCGUGGGUAGCAAACAGG